This 1437-nucleotide ribosomal RNA is filed under the name uncultured organism. Its description in RNAcentral is "16S ribosomal RNA". It matches the Rfam family "Bacterial small subunit ribosomal RNA". The record is from RNAcentral.
UGCUUAACACAUGCAAGUCGAACGGAAAGGCCCUUCUUUUGUGGGGUGCUCGAGUGGCGAACGGGUGAGUAACACGUGAGUAACCUGCCCUUGACUUUGGGAUAACUUCAGGAAACUGGGGCUAAUACCGGAUAGGAGCUCCUGCUGCAUGGUGGGGGUUGGAAAGUUUCGGCGGUUGGGGAUGGACUCGCGGCUUAUCAGCUUGUUGGUGGGGUAGUGGCUUACCAAGGCUUUGACGGGUAGCCGGCCUGAGAGGGUGACCGGCCACAUUGGGACUGAGAUACGGCCCAGACUCCUACGGGAGGCAGCAGUGGGGAAUAUUGCACAAUGGGCGGAAGCCUGAUGCAGCAACGCCGCGUGCGGGAUGACGGCCUUCGGGUUGUAAACCGCUUUCGCCUGUGACGAAGCGUGAGUGACGGUAAUGGGUAAAGAAGCACCGGCUAACUACGUGCCAGCAGCCGCGGUGAUACGUAGGGUGCGAGCGUUGUCCGGAUUUAUUGGGCGUAAAGGGCUCGUAGGUGGUUGAUCGCGUCGGAAGUGUAAUCUUGGGGCUUAACCCCUGAGCGUGCUUUCGAUACGGGUUGACUUGAGGAAGGUAGGGGAGAAUGGAAUUUCCUGGUGGGAGCGGUGGAAUGCGCAGAUAUCAGGAGGAACACCAGUGGCGAAGGCGGUUCUCUGGGCCUUUCCUGACGCUGAGGAGCGAAAGCGUGGGGAGCGAACAGGCUUAGAUACCCUGGUAGUCCACGCUGUAAACGGUGGGUACUAGGUGUGGGGUCCAUUCCACGGGUUCCGUGCCGUAGCUAACGCUUUAAGUACCCCGCCUGGGGAGUACGGCCGCAGGGCUAAAACUCAAAGGAAUUGACGGGGCCCCGCACAAGCGGCGGAGCAUGCGGAUUAAUUCGAUGCAACGCGUAGAACCUUACCUGGGUUUGACAUGGAUCGGGAGUGCUCAGAGAUGGGUGUGCCUCUUUUGGGGUCGGUUCACAGGUGGUGCAUGCCUGUCGUCAGCUCGUGUCGUGAGAUGUUGGGUUAAGUCCCGCAACGAGCGCAACCCUUGUUCACUGUUGCCAGCACGUUAUGGUGGGGACUCAGUGGAGACCGCCGGGGUCAACUCGGAGGAAGGUGGGGAUGACGUCAAGUCCUCAUGCCCCUUAUGUCCAGGGCUUCACGCAUGCUACAAUGGCUGGUACAGAGAGUGGCGAGCCUGUGAGGGUGAGCGAAUCUCGGAAAGCCGGUCUCAGUUCGGAUUGGGGUCUGCAACUCGACCUCAUGAAGUCGGAGUCGCUAGUAAUCGCAGAUCAGCAACGCUGCGGUGAAUACGUUCCCGGGGCUUGUACACACCGCCCGUCAAGUCAUGAAAGUUGGUAACACCCGAAGCCGGUGGCCUAACCGUUGUGGGGGAGCCGUCGAAGGUGGGACUGGUGAUUAGGACUAAGU